Molecule: ribosomal RNA, 473 nt
Filed under: uncultured bacterium
Lineage: Bacteria
Description: bacterial SSU rRNA
Rfam family: Bacterial small subunit ribosomal RNA
Source: RNAcentral
UCCUACGGGAGGCAGCAGUGAGGAAUAUUGGGCAAUGGACGAAAGUCUGACCCAGCAACGCCGCGUGGAGGAUGAAUGCCGUAAGGUUGUAAACUCCUUUUGAGAGGGACGAAAACCCAUAUUUCGUAAGGGAUAUGGUUUGACUGUACCUCUAGAAGAAGCCCCGGCUAGCUACGUGCCAGCAGCCGCGGUAAUACGUAGGGGGCAAGCGUUGUCCGGAUUUACUGGGUGUAAAGGACGCGUAGGCGGAUUUGUAAGUCAGAGGUGAAAGCCCGCAGCUUAACUGCGGAACUGCCUUUGAUACUGCUUAUCUUGAGUUCGGAAGAGAGAAGCGGAAUUCCAGGUGUAGUAGUGAAAUACGUAGAUAUCUGGAAGAACACCUGUGGCGAAGGCGAUUUCCUGGCCUAAAACUGACACUGAGACGCGAAAGCUAGGGGAGCAAACAGGAUUAGAUACCCCGGUAGUCCAAGCCG